UGACCUCAUUGCCACAUGCUUACCCUC
This 27-nucleotide non-coding RNA is filed under the name Homo sapiens (human). Lineage: Eukaryota; Metazoa; Chordata; Mammalia; Primates; Hominidae. The record is from RNAcentral.